RNAcentral lists this ribosomal RNA (460 nucleotides) under uncultured bacterium. RNAcentral describes it as "partial 16S ribosomal RNA". It matches the Rfam family "Bacterial small subunit ribosomal RNA", at positions 338 to 795 of the family's 1533-position model. The record is from RNAcentral.
CCUACGGGUGGCAGCAGUGAGGAAUAUUGGUCAAUGGGCGCGAGCCUGAACCAGCCAAGUAGCGUGAAGGAAGACUGCCCUGCGUGUUGUAAACUUCUUUUAUAAGGGAAUAAAGUGAGGCACGAGUGCCUUGUUGUGGGUACUUUAUGAAUAAGGAUCGGCUAACUCCGUGCCAGCAGCCGCGGUAAUACGGAGGAUCCGAGCGUUAUCCGGAUUUAUUGGGUUUAAAGGGAGCGUAGACGGGUUGUUAAGUCAGUUGUGAAAGUCUGCGGCUCAACCGUAAAAUUGCAAUUGAUACUGGCAGUCUUGAGUACAGGUGAGGUAGGCGGAAUGCGUGGUGUAGCGGUGAAAUGCUUAGAUAUCACGAAGAACCCCGAUUGCGAAGGCAGCUUACUAAACUGCCACUGACAUUGAUGCUCGAAAGUGUGGGUAUCAAACAGGAUUAGAUACCCUAGUAGUC